GACGAACGCUGGCGGCGUGCUUAACACAUGCAAGUCGAACGGUAAGGCCCUUCGGGGUACACGAGUGGCGAACGGGUGAGUAACACGUGGGUGAUCUGCCCUGCACUUCGGGAUAAGCCUGGGAAACUGGGUCUAAUACCGGAUAGGACCACUGCCUGCAUGGGUGGUGGUGGAAAGCUUUUGCGGUGUGGGAUGGGCCCGCGGCCUAUCAGCUUGUUGGUGGGGUGAUGGCCUACCAAGGCGACGACGGGUAGCCGGCCUGGGAGGGUGACCGGCCACACUGGGACUGAGAUACGGCCCAGACUCCAACGGGAGGCAGCGGUGGGGAAUAUUGCACAAUGGGCGCAAGCCUGAUGCAGCGACGCCGCGUGAGGGAUGACGGCCUUCGGGUUGUAAACCUCUUUCAGCACCGACGAAGCGCAAGUGACGGUAGGUGCAGAAGAAGGACCGGCCAACUACGUGCCAGCAGCCGCCGUAA
RNAcentral lists this ribosomal RNA (478 nucleotides) under uncultured bacterium. RNAcentral describes it as "partial 16S ribosomal RNA". It matches the Rfam family "Bacterial small subunit ribosomal RNA", at positions 28 to 523 of the family's 1533-position model. The record is from RNAcentral.